RNAcentral lists this ribosomal RNA (253 nucleotides) under uncultured bacterium. RNAcentral's name for it is "partial 16S ribosomal RNA". It matches the Rfam family "Bacterial small subunit ribosomal RNA", at positions 524 to 776 of the family's 1533-position model. The record is from RNAcentral.
UACAGAGGGUGCAAGCGUUAAUCGGAAUUACUGGGCGUAAAGCGUGCGCAGGCGGUUUUGUAAGUCUGUCGUGAAAUCCCCGGGCUUAACCUGGGAAUUGCGAUGGAGACUGCAAGGCUAGAAUCUGGCAGAGGGGGGUAGAAUUCCACGUGUAGCAGUGAAAUGCGUAGAGAUGCGGAGGAACACCGAUGGCGAAGGCAGCCCCCUGGGCUGACACUGACGCUCAGGCACGAAAGCGUGGGGAGCAAACAGG